AGAGUUUGAUCAUGGCUCAGAUUGAACGCUGGCGGCAGGCCUAACACAUGCAAGUCGAGCGGUAACAGGGGUAGCUUGCUACCCGCUGACGAGCGGCGGACGGGUGAGUAAUGCAUAGGAAUCUGCCCGAUAGUGGGGGAUAACCUGGGGAAACCCAGGCUAAUACCGCAUACGUCCUACGGGAGAAAGGGGGCUUUGGCUCCCGCUAUUGGAUGAGCCUAUGUCGGAUUAGCUAGUUGGUAAGGUAAUGGCUUACCAAGGCAACGAUCCGUAGCUGGUCUGAGAGGAUGAUCAGCCACAUCGGGACUGAGACACGGCCCGAACUCCUACGGGAGGCAGCAGUGGGGAAUAUUGGACAAUGGGGGCAACCCUGAUCCAGCCAUGCCGCGUGUGUGAAGAAGGCCCUCGGGUUGUAAAGCACUUUCAGCGAGGAAGAACGCCUGUCGGUUAAUACCCGGUAGGAAAGACAUCACUCGCAGAAGAAGCACCGGCUAACUCCGUGCCAGCAGCCGCGGUAAUACGGAGGGUGCAAGCGUUAAUCGGAAUUACUGGGCGUAAAGCGCGCGUAGGUGGCUUGAUAAGCCGGUUGUGAAAGCCCCGGGCUCAACCUGGGAACGGCAUCCGGAACUGUCAAGCUAGAGUGCAGGAGAGGAAGGUAGAAUUCCCGGUGUAGCGGUGAAAUGCGUAGAGAUCGGGAGGAAUACCAGUGGCGAAGGCGGCCUUCUGGACUGACACUGACACUGAGGUGCGAAAGCGUGGGUAGCAAACAGGAUUAGAUACCCUGGUAGUCCACGCCGUAAACGAUGUCGACCAGCCGUUGGGUGCCUAGAGCACUUUGUGGCGAAGUUAACGCGAUAAGUCGACCGCCUGGGGAGUACGGCCGCAAGGUUAAAACUCAAAUGAAUUGACGGGGGCCCGCACAAGCGGUGGAGCAUGUGGUUUAAUUUCGAUGCAACGCGAAGAACCUUACCUACCCUUGACAUCUACAGAAGCCGGAGAGAUUCGGGUGUGCCUUCGGGAACUGUAAGACAGGUGCUGCAUGGCUGUCGUCAGCUCGUG
RNAcentral lists this ribosomal RNA (1059 nucleotides) under uncultured bacterium. RNAcentral's name for it is "bacterial SSU rRNA". It matches the Rfam family "Bacterial small subunit ribosomal RNA", at positions 8 to 1064 of the family's 1533-position model. The record is from RNAcentral.